UUUCAUUUUUCACUUUUUACUCUCGGUAAACUUCUCUCGCUAAUCGUCGGGAUCGGACUUUGAGUUUUUAGACGUCGACUUUAAGGUAAGACCUCGAGUUUUUAAGUUAUUCUUUAGGUAUUUUUUACCUAGGUCAGGAUGUCUAGUAGUAGCAGUAGCGACACUUCGUCCUCAUCAUCCUCGAGGAGUACUCCCGAGGACGUAGGAGGCUCAAUCAUACCUAUGGCUGUCCCAAUUAAUGCCCAACCUCGGGCACAAAGUAUCCCGACCCCUUUUAGGUAUCCCGAGGUCCCCUGUAAAUUUAAAGAACAUCUAGCAAUAUCGACGGCUAGGGAGCAUGGGCUCAUGCCCAAAUGCGACGUUAGGACACCAGGGGUAGAGGAUAGGAUGGCCUUUGCUCGGGAUGGAGAGUUCGUGAUUUUUAGGGACUCACUUAAGGGGGGAUUUCGAUGGCCUCUGCAUCCCUUUUUUGUGGCCUUAUUGGUCGAGC
This 490-nucleotide long non-coding RNA is filed under the name Olea europaea (common olive). Its description in RNAcentral is "long non-coding RNA (OEUR_LNC007480)". Lineage: Eukaryota; Viridiplantae; Streptophyta; Magnoliopsida; Lamiales; Oleaceae. The record is from RNAcentral.